RNAcentral lists this microRNA precursor (91 nucleotides) under Human gammaherpesvirus 8. Its description in RNAcentral is "Kaposi sarcoma-associated herpesvirus miR-K12-2 stem-loop (kshv-miR-K12-2)". Its record names the gene kshv-miR-K12-2. Lineage: Duplodnaviria; Heunggongvirae; Peploviricota; Herviviricetes; Herpesvirales; Orthoherpesviridae. The record is from miRBase by way of RNAcentral.
GGGUCUACUUCGCUAACUGUAGUCCGGGUCGAUCUGAGCCAUUGAAGCAAGCUUCCAGAUCUUCCAGGGCUAGAGCUGCCGCGGUGACACC